GGAUGAGCCCGCGGCCUAUCAGCUUGUUGGUGAGGUAACGGCUCACCAAGGCGACGACGGGUAGCCGACCUGAGAGGGCGACCGGCCGCACUGGGACUGAGACACGGCCCAGACUCCUACGGGAGGCAGCAGUGGGGAAUAUUGCACAAUGGGCGAAAGCCUGAUGCAGCGACGCCGCGUGAGGGAUGACGGCCUUCGGGUUGUAAACCUCUUUCAGCAGGGAAGAAGCGAGAGUGACGGUACCUGCAGAAGAAGCGCCGGCUAACUACGUGCCAGCAGCCGCGGCCG
Molecule: ribosomal RNA, 288 nt
Filed under: uncultured Streptomyces sp.
Lineage: Bacteria; Bacillati; Actinomycetota; Actinomycetes; Kitasatosporales; Streptomycetaceae
Description: partial 16S ribosomal RNA
Rfam family: Bacterial small subunit ribosomal RNA
Source: RNAcentral